This 874-nucleotide long non-coding RNA is filed under the name Glycine max (soybean). RNAcentral's name for it is "long non-coding RNA (GMAX_LNC002438)". Lineage: Eukaryota; Viridiplantae; Streptophyta; Magnoliopsida; Fabales; Fabaceae. The record is from RNAcentral.
GGAGAGUCAUCACAUUCCCAACAUGAAGAUCAUCUAAGGCGAAAAAUCCUGUCUUGAAAGCCUCUGUGUGGUCCACAAUAUUGGAAGAUUCUUUUGGGUCAUUUUUGGUACCGGUUCCACCAUAUUGGGUUAUGUAAGGUUUAGUGGUAUCAUCAUGGGAUGACUCUUUUAGGUCCUUUUUGGGUUUGGUUUCUCCAUAUUGGGCUAUAUAAGGUUCAGUGGUAUCAUCAUGGAAUGGCUCUUUUGGAGCUUUCUUGGCAGUAGUUGUUGUGUACCCAGCUAUGUAAGGUGCAUUGGGAUCAUGGGUGGUUCUAGUCCUAUACCCUGCAAUGUAAGGUGCAUUGGGAUCAUGGGUGGUUCUAGUCCUAUACCCUGCAAUGUAAGGUGUAUUGGAAUCAUGUGUGGUUCUAGUCCUAUACCCUGCAAUGUAAGGUGUAUUGGAAUCACGGGUUGUCCUAGUUCUAUACCCUGCAAUGUAAUUUGGUUGAUUGUUAGCCAUAUGUGCACUAGUUGUGUACCCAGCUAUGUAAGGUGCAUUAGAAUCAUAAGUGUUGGUCCUAUACCCUGCAAUGUAAGGUGUAUUGGAUUCUUGGGCUUUAUGGGAAGCACUAGUUGUUCUGUAACCAGCUAUGUAUGGUGUAUUGGAAUCAUAGGUUUUGGUUCUAUACCCUGCUAUGUGUUGAUUGGCUUUGUUUGCAGCAUUGCUUGUUGUGUACCCAGCUAUGUAAGGUUGAUGGAACUUUUCAUGGUUAUGGUUGCGCUUAGUAGCAGUAUAUGAAGCUAGGUAAUUAGGUUCAGCGGAUUCUGAAGUGGUUAUGUACCCUUGGCCAUAUGACUCGUCAUUAGACACUGAUGUGGCUUUGUACCAUUCAUC